CAACUGCUCUUCUUUCAAGGAGAGUCACCUAGGUGUCUUCCACAGUGCCCCCUUCUUCGCUUUGAAGAAGCUGGAGCAGGGUCAUUGGGGCUGCAUGGCCUCUAGUCAGGACGGGGCUGUGAAUCCUCUGCGACAUACUUUAAUGAAAAGGAUUAUAAGCAAGAAAAUGAGCACACCAAUCCCAAUAUAAAACCAGAAGUGAGCCUUGAAAUAUGCAAAUGGGUUCAAUUGUUCUAUAGCAUCCGAAAACUCAUCCCAGUCUCUGAUUUGGUUAUCACGAUGGUAGUCUGUGACUGACCUGCUUGUUUUUCCAAGUUAUGUUGCAAAGACAGUAGAGCCUCCUUCAGUAGGUACCAUGUGGCUAUGGUUUGUGGAUGGAUUCUUUAUUCUGGGUUUUAGCUUUAUAAAGGCUUUCGCCUACUUUAUCCCAAACUCUGAGAUAGAGUGUACCGGCUUUGGGAAAGGAAAGAUAGAAUGUAGCUAUCUCAUGGAGUAAUCGAAAAACCUGCUUAGAUGGCACAUUAGUGUCUGUGUCAUUUCAUAGCUUCCUAACCAAUAGACCGAAUUCUCUCUCUUUUGCAGGUGAAGAAUGCACUUGCCCCAUUGCUACCCUUGAGGAGCAGACUCCUACUCGCUACUUGCGUCUGAGCACUAAAAUUAGUAAAAUGCUCUGCUUACCUCUAAAUUGGUCACGCGAGGUCCAGUGGAUUGCCGGCUCCUGAGUCUGGAUAUGGUCCCUGUGCUGAGGGGGCUGUGCCUUCUGGCCGCAUUGAGCGCCACAUAGAGAGAGCCCUCCCUGGUCCUCGGCUCAGCCCAGGAAGUUUGUAUGUGCAAUCCCAUGAAAAGUUAUUGGAAUUCUAGCAAGGUCCUGCUCCUGGGCACGCGGAGGACCGGAGAGGUCAGGAACUCGGUCAUCACACAGCCGAUAAACAGCAGGCUGAGUCUGCAUGCGGGACAGCUGACUGCAGGACCGGCUCUCCUGCCUCUCAGGGACCCGGGCAUCUCCACAGCUGCCCCUGUCUGCAGCUCAUUGGUACCAUGAACCCGGCGUCUCCACCACUCGCCGUGGGCACUGAGGGUGGCAGACAGGCUGUGCAUAAUGGCCGGGACAGGGACCCCGUUCCCCCACCUGCACUGGCCCCUGAGCAAAGCAGGAGACAUUGAAACGAGAUGACGCCCAGUGCCGCGGACCACAAGAGAAGCCAGGGACGGAGAGCCGGGAGGCCUGAGGCUUUGGGGCCCUCGGCCCGCACCCCUCCUGUCUCCACCCCGGGCCUUCCUGUCCUCUGGACACCUGGGCUCAGCCCUGUCCAUACCUGCAGUCCAUCCAUCGCCCUCCUCGCCUUUCCCCUCUUCUUGAGCAUGAGAAUCACGCACACCAUUGUUGAAAGUGUGCCUGGGCCUCACUUGGCCUGGACCCUGACCCUCCAGGGAGGGGCGGGGACCCCAGGCCCUUCCUUCCCGCCGAGCCAGCUUGUGCAGCGCCGAUUGUAAUCAUGAUGUACAGCAAAUGUGCAGUAACAGUAAAAAUUACAGCAAA
Chinchilla lanigera (long-tailed chinchilla) is the source of this 1540-nucleotide long non-coding RNA. RefSeq lists it as uncharacterized. NCBI's taxonomy places the organism in Eukaryota, Metazoa, Chordata, Mammalia, Rodentia, Chinchillidae. The record is from RefSeq and is a predicted model, not a curated record. The transcript has 2 exons.